GGGGCCGUAGUGUAGCCUGGUUUAACACAUCUGCCUGUCACGCAGAAGAUCGAGGGUUCAAAUCCCUUCGGCCCCG
This 76-nucleotide transfer RNA is filed under the name candidate division WOR-1 bacterium RIFCSPHIGHO2_02_FULL_45_12. RNAcentral describes it as "tRNA-Asp". It matches the Rfam family "tRNA". Rfam says of the family: Transfer RNA (tRNA) molecules are approximately 80 nucleotides in length. RNAcentral also lists the same sequence under 2 other names. Lineage: Bacteria; Bacillati. The record is from RNAcentral.